RNAcentral lists this unclassified non-coding RNA (167 nucleotides) under uncultured Chaetomium. RNAcentral's name for it is "sequence contains ITS1". Lineage: Eukaryota; Fungi; Ascomycota; Sordariomycetes; Sordariales; Chaetomiaceae. The record is from RNAcentral.
CAGAGUUGCAAAGCUCAAACCAUUGUGAACGUUACCUUUACCGUUGCUUCGGCGGGCGGCCUGGGUCCUCGGACCCCGCGCCCCUGGGCCCCUCGGGGCGCCCGCCGGAGGUAAACCAAACUCUUGAAUUGUAUGGCCUCUCUGAGUCUUCUGUACUGAAUAAGUCA